UUGUCACUCAACGCCAACACGCGCGUCACGUGACCCGAGCUGAGGGCCCCAUCUUCAGAGCCACGCCUCUAAUGGCUUGAGUAGUCCAUGGAGGGUUGCCUUCUGAAAGGGGUUGACGCAGAAACUACCUCCUGUUGAUUAUAGCUUCUCUCUCCUCUAGAAUGACGGACGCAGUUCCUAUGCCUAAUGUAUGCAAAUAAAACCAUCCGCAAAAUGAUACUCCCAUCUGGGAUUCUAUAGGACUGUUCCUGAGAAAAGCCUGCCUGAUGUUUUCACCACCUCCAGGCAGAGUUCAGUAAAAACGAACUUAGCCAAAUGCCUGACAGGUAGUAAGUGCUCAAGAAACAGUUGACUGGACGACUGCUCCAUUUCUUCUCUGCAUAUCUGAACACUCAAGCACCGGAAGGCACCUAAACCCAGAGCCUCUCCAGACCAUAUGACAUCAGUCAAAGACUCUGCUUGAGAAUUAUUUUUGUUCUUGGCCUCAGCUCCGGAUCACAGCAACUUAUAUAUGCCAUCUCUGUUUCAGAGACAGUUUAUUUUCAGCUGCCAAGCCACUUUUUUCCAAGCCUUCAGUCAAAUAAUUUCUCCUGAAGAAAAAGAAAAGAGAAUGACAUAACUGUCAGGGUUUUAUUUGAAAAGAAGAGUGGUUAUAUAGAUUUUUUUGUGUGUGUUCAUAUCAAAGUGUCAAUAACUGUUAAAGAGGAACAGUCAACUAGCAAGUCACUUGUCAAUGAUUCUUCCAUCUUUGACAUGGGAGAGAUUUGAAGAACAUUUAUUUAGCAAUUUUUUAUUAAAUGUCUACUUGGCUUACUGGACUAAGUUGUGGCAAUCUGAGAAUGGACCAGAUUUCACUCAAGAUGUUUGCCUUCAAGGAGUUUAUAGUCUAGUGGGAAAAAUAAACAAGUAAAAUCUGGGAACUUUAAGCAUAAAUCUCUGGAACAUUCAUAGUCAUUGUAUAACAGGAAUUCUUUAACAUUUUGGAUGUUAUUUUCUCAUCUUUCCACUGAACAAAAUUGACUCAAGCCUUUAAUAAUCUCUGCUGUGUACUUGCAGUGGAAAAUGUCAACAAGUAAUCCUAACAAUUCUCCAGGAAGUGGAGGCUCAGGUGGUUAGUGAGUAGUCCCAAUAUUGAGCUCAAAAGUCGGUCUUCUACAUCCAUUUUUUCUGUCGUGUGUUUCUAUCAUGAACACGUUUCCAUUAUAGCAGAUUGAUGCUUUCUUACCCAAAUUUAUUUACCUAUCUACUAGACCACGAGGUCAAAGACCACUUUUCAUUUGUAUAUCUGCCCAUCACCCUAAUAGAUUGUGACCUUUUGAGAUGAGAAACAUGGUUCCUGCCCUCAAGAGGAUCAAAUUUGGAGAAAAAGGUAGAUAAUCAUAUCAAAUAGGGUGAGAACAAGCACUGAAAUCAAGUUUAUUGUUAACAUGUGGAGGAGGAGCACCUCAUUCAACCUGCGUUCAACAAGAAGUACUUCUCAAAAAUGUCAAGCUCAAGACGAGUAUUGAAGAACCAGUAGGAAUUGGCCAAGCUAAAAAGAGACAAAGAGUGCUCCAUACACAGGCACAUAUACCUUUGUAUGUGUCUCCUUGCCUAUGAACUGUAGAGUAAAACUCAUUACAAGUAUUCUGGAUCCAUUUUUGGCUAAGUGAAGAGGAAAGUUUUACCAGCUGAUGGCCGUUUGAUGACCUACAUGGAAAGAACUGGUAGACUCAGGAGAGCACAAUUGAGAGAAGUGAUCACAUCACAAAAUGUGACAUCAUUCUUUGGCACCAGCUGGCAUCCUGGACAUGGAGAGUGAAUGGCACCCUUCCUUGGAUUCUAGUGCUAUUGCUGAGAUUAGCCAUUCUUGCAUCUCAAAAGGAAGAUGUUAAAAGAAGAGUUAGCCAACUGUGUUCCUGGUGCUGUGCCAGCAGGAAGUUCCCUUUGAAUGGUGCUGCAAACAUAAUAGCAGUGUGCUGACUCCAGCAACAAUGUAAAAAACAGCGCACAGUAACAUGGUAACAAUAUGUCAGAGAGAUUCUGAAGCUCAAAACAACAUAUUUGGAAGAAGAGUGAAGUAUCCCACUGUUUCUUCAUUUGAAGUAAAACUUCCAGUUUUAGAAGCGUCAGCAAUGUUGAGAAGGUCAGAACUGAAAGAGAACAAGGAGGAGGAAGAGAAGGGGGAGGAAGAAAGAGAAGAGAGAAGAGAAAAAGAGAAAAGAAGUGGAAAAGAAGAAGAGGGAAAGAAAGCUCACCUUCAUUUACCUCUGUUCACACUCAAACUUCUUGAUAGUAACCAACCCUGAUGUGGUCACUGACUCCUCUCCUUUCCACUUGUGAAUCCAUUGCAAUCUGGCUUCUCCCUCCUUCAUUCAGAAAAUUGUCUUGUGAUGGUCUCCAAAGGCCCUGGGGCUGCAAAAUUUAACAGGCACUGGUCAAUUAUUAUUGCAACAAAUUUUUCCUAGAAUUCAAAAUAUUUACCAAACUCCAUUUGAAAUGCCUGCCUUUCUUUAUGUAGUGGUUACUUCAUCACCUUCUAUCUCUAUUUGCUCUAUUUCCUUCCCCCUCCUUGGCUUCUUUUUUCUACAUUAGGUCCUUUCAUGCCCUGGUUUUCCUCUAAGAGCCUGUCCUUGCUCAUGUCUGUUCUCUAUAUACUCCUCAUGGCACACUCAUCCAUUCCUGUAAUACCAGGUACCAUGUAUUUAUGACUCGACUUUUUAUCUUCAGCACAGACCAUUCCCUUGAACUCCAGAUUUGUGUUUCUAGGCUCCUACCAGACACGUUUAGUAGAUAUAUCACCAACACCUUAAACUUAUCCAAUAUUAAAUCCCCUUUAUGUUCUUUCCAAUUCUCCAGUUGGUUUGAUUUUAGUGUCCAAGUCAGAAGCUUUAGGAUCACUUCCUCUUUGUUACUCACUUACCCAGUAGGUCAUUAAGUCUGAAUCUAUGGAUAUCUCUGGAAUCCACUCCAUGACCACAAUUUCUGUCUUUCUUCAGACUCUCAUCAUUUCUAACCUAUCCUGUUGCACUAGCCUCCGACCAGACCUCCCUGCCUACAGGCUUUCCCACCUUCCUUUCCUCCUGAAUCUGUAUUCUACACUAUUGCCUCUGGUACCUAAAGUACAAAACUAAUCAGGACACUUCUCUGAUUAACACCUUUCAAUGACUUUUCACCCCUAUCAGCUCCUUUCCUUGAUAAACAUAAAAGGUCCUUGACAGUCUGGCUUCUCCCCCCCUUUAUGAUUGUGUCUCCCUACUUUCCCUAACUCACUGCCUCUGGUUCAGCCUUAACUGUCUUUUUGCAGUUUCCCAAACAUGCAAAAGGGAAACAUUCACAUCUCCAAGGUUUCGAAAGUCUGAUGCAUUUGCCUGAAAUGCUCUUCCCCUCUCAGGCACCUGGCAAAUUCCUGUUCAGUAUUUGAAAAUUCCAUGAACAUCACCCCCACCCCCACCCCCACAUACAUGUGCAUCUUCCUAUUACUUUUUGCAUCCAUAAGCAUGGAGGUGUACCUCUCUAUUAGCAUUUUUCUCACUGUGUCAUAGUUUAUAACAUGGGGAGGGUUCUCCAUGAACCCUUGAGGUCCCUGAGAAAUGUCUUUAUUUCAGUUUAAACUAUGCCUGGCGUGUAAUACAUGCUGAAUGCAUGUUGGUUGAAUGAAUAAUAAAUAAAUACAGACAGUAUUAGA
Long non-coding RNA from Acinonyx jubatus (cheetah), 3667 nucleotides. RefSeq lists it as uncharacterized. The record is from RefSeq and is a predicted model, not a curated record. The transcript is spliced from 6 exons. NCBI's taxonomy places the organism in Eukaryota, Metazoa, Chordata, Mammalia, Carnivora, Felidae.